GGGUUAGUAUCCUAAUUGGUAAGGAACUUUCUUGUCAAGAAAGAAUAUGUCGGAUCAAGACCGACCUGACUCG
This 73-nucleotide transfer RNA is filed under the name Erysiphe pisi. RNAcentral's name for it is "tRNA-Asp". It matches the Rfam family "tRNA". From Rfam's summary of the family: Transfer RNA (tRNA) molecules are approximately 80 nucleotides in length. Lineage: Eukaryota; Fungi; Ascomycota; Leotiomycetes; Helotiales; Erysiphaceae. The record is from RNAcentral. RNAcentral also lists the same sequence under 1 other name.